CGCAGCCGCGGUAAUUCCAGCUCCAAUAGCGUAUAUUAAAGUUGUUGCAGUUAAAAAGCUCGUAGUUGAAUUUCGGGGUUAGUAGAUUGGUCAUGCCUCUGGUAUGCACUGGUCUUACUGAUUCCUCCUUCCUGAUGAACCGUAAUGCCAUUAAUUUGGUGUUGCGGGGAAACUGGACUGUUACUUUGAAAAAAUUGAGUGUUUAAAGCAGGCUAACGCUUGAAUACAUUAGCAUGGAAUAAUGAAAUAGGACGUUCGAUCUUAUUUUGUUGGUUUCUAGGAUUUGACGUAAUGAUUAAUAGGGAUAGUUGGGGGCAUUAGUAUUCAAUUGUCAGAGGUGAAAUUCUUGGAUUUAUUGAAGACUAACUACUGCGAAAGCAUUUGCCAAGGAUGUUUUCAUUAAUCAAGAACGAAAGUUAGGGGAUCGAAGACGAUCAGAUACCGUCGUAGUCUUAACCAUAAACCUAUGCCGACUAGGGAUCGGAUGAUGUUAAUUUUUAUGUACUUCAUUCGGC
Molecule: ribosomal RNA, 515 nt
Filed under: uncultured Glomus
Lineage: Eukaryota; Fungi; Glomeromycota; Glomeromycetes; Glomerales; Glomeraceae
Description: SSU rRNA
Rfam family: Eukaryotic small subunit ribosomal RNA
Source: RNAcentral